Drosophila ananassae is the source of this 783-nucleotide long non-coding RNA. RefSeq lists it as uncharacterized. The transcript has 2 exons. NCBI's taxonomy places the organism in Eukaryota, Metazoa, Arthropoda, Insecta, Diptera, Drosophilidae. The record is from RefSeq and is a predicted model, not a curated record.
ACUCUCUAUGAUAGUGGUGGUAAAUCGGCUGCUGCUGCUGCUGCUUUCCGUUAGCACCUUAUGGCCACCUCUAGUAGUACGCUGGUAGUGUGUGUUCCAUUGCCAUUCAUUUCGCCAUUUUGGUGCAUCAACAAGGGGUCGUGGGCGUGGGCGGUGGCAGAGGAUAAGGCGGCGGCGACGAAGUAGAAGACGCAGGAGGCGGCGGCAAGAGCAAGAACAAGAGCAAGAACAAGAAGAAGCGGAGAAACUGCCGCGGGCAACAAAAAACCAGAAGCAGCGAAAGCAGCAGCAGGCGAUAAACGAAUAACGGGAAAAAACGCGAUAACCAAAAAACACGAAACGUGCUCGAGAACUCGCUCCUCAAAAAAACUAAUCUACAAAUUUUAAUGAAUUAAUUAACUUUUUUUUUUGGUAGAAAUUAAUUUUUUUUGUGAAAAAAAAAAAUAAAUACAAAUAAAAAGUGCGGCAAAAACUCGUUACUCGUAACUACGAAUUGGAAAAUAAAUUAAAAAAGAAAACGCAUAAAGAUACAUAAAUCUGUGUUGUCGAAACAGUGACCGGAAAAUAAAAAUGUGACAAAAAAUGAAAUUAGAAAAAUAAAAAUGCAAUAAAUAAAAUGCAAACUGCAGCAACCGGACAUCAACUCUAAAAGUUAUACAACAAAUCAAUAUCCAGAGCCUGACAGAAAAAUCCAAAAAUCCAAAACGUCUUCGAAAGGAGGGAAAGUAGGAAAGCCAGAGAACCGAUUGCCAAAUGGCCAGAGUUUGCUGGGAAAGGGAAACA